CUGCCUGGUGUAGCGAGGCCAGGGGCUAAGUCAUAGCUCCCCAGCCUUUGGCAUGUUGGGUCUUUCUGAGUCAAGGUCUCCAUGUGCGUCAGAUAGGGGUGAUUUGGGGUGUCCGAAUCACCUUGUGCCUCCCUUUCUUUUGGCCACCACAGUAUAAUCCAUCCACCCAUCCAGCCAAAUAUUUAUUGAGCACCCACUCAGCACCAGGCACUGGGCUUAGAAGUAGACCUGAUGGACAAUAAUCUGUGCAUUCCUGGAGCUGAUUGUGUGUGUGGGUGUGGGUGUGAUAGGCAGAAUAAUGGGAACCCCCACCCCACAAUAUCCACAUCCUAAUCCCUAGAACCUUCGAAUACGCUAGGUUACAUGGCAAGGGGGAAUCAAGGAGGCUAAUCAACGGACCUUGAGCUGGAAAGAUGAUCCUGGACUAUCCAGUGGGCCCAGUGGAAUCACAAGAGUCCUUCUAAGUGCAAGAGGGAGGCAGCCAGGGAGGGUGAGAGCCAGAGGGACGAAGCACAAGAGAGACCAGACUCACCACUGCUGGUCUUGAGGAUGGAGGAUGGAGCCAAGAAAGGCAGGUGGCCUGUAGCAGCUGACAAGGAAAAGAAACAGAUUCUGUCUUUGAAUCUCCAGAAGAAACUCAGCCCUGCCCCUGGAGUUUCACCUAAUGAGACCCAGCUUGAGCUUCUGAUCUCCACAACUAUGAGUUCUCCUUUAAUCCUACUGACUGUGGCCGGGAGGACGUCGCAGAUUGCAGCCACCGUGUCUCCAGCGCCUCUCUGAUGUUGGCCAAUCUCCUUUCUAACAAAACAGAAGAGCCCCAGGCUUAACACCUGCAGGAGCAUCAGUGUCCCACAUCAGCCUCAGACCAUCUCCUAGCACCAUGCCUGGGGGCACCUUUCGCAGUGCAGAGGGCACCUGUCUGCGCCCAUUUCCACAUCCCAGCCACAGGCCUCUCCUCCGGACUCCCACAGCUGCCUCCUCACUGCGCUGUGGGCCUCCACGCCUGCCCCCACUCUGUCACCUCCUCCACACCCCCACCACUGUGAGUCCCUAAAAACCAGCGUGUUCUGAGCGCUAAAAAUGUUCUCGAUCUAAUCACUGAGCGCUUUAUGUGUAUUAUGUUCCUUAAUUCUUAGAACAACUGGGAGGCCAAUACGAUGAUUGUCUCCAUUUUAAAGGAGGGCAGACUGAGGCUCAGCGUAGUAACCGGGCCAGGGUCACACAAUAAG
Long non-coding RNA from Mirounga angustirostris (Northern elephant seal), 1229 nucleotides. RefSeq lists it as uncharacterized. The record is from RefSeq and is a predicted model, not a curated record. NCBI's taxonomy places the organism in Eukaryota, Metazoa, Chordata, Mammalia, Carnivora, Phocidae. The transcript has 3 exons.